CGGUAAAUGAUGAAGGAGUUUGUCUUGUUUGGAGGUGUAUGGAUUGGUAUAUGCAAGGUGGAGGGAUGUGUUCCCUGAUGAGGUUUAUGCUGACCCUUAAGAGGCGUCAGCGUGAUGCUUAAUAUAAUGAUCUUAUCUUAGAGGUUAAGGACGCACUUUAGUACGGGACUAUUUUGAUUGGAAGCUAAUUGCCCUUUGCCUUGGUCCACUCAGUAAUCAUGUCAUCACGCUGCUUCAUAUUGAAACGGGCCAUGUUUUUGUACUGAUAGCUAAACACAUGGAGAAAUAUCUGGUUGAGUCUUACUUAGUUUGUACUCAACAAAGAAGCACUGUUUCUUUUUUGUUGGUAAAUCAAGUGAAGUACCUCCAAGCUUUAGCUAGCCUGAAAAUUUUACUGCUAUUUUAUGAUGGAAAAAUGUCUGUAGUUUUCACA
Long non-coding RNA from Rhodamnia argentea, 433 nucleotides. RefSeq lists it as uncharacterized. Lineage: Eukaryota; Viridiplantae; Streptophyta; Magnoliopsida; Myrtales; Myrtaceae. The record is from RefSeq and is a predicted model, not a curated record. The transcript is spliced from 2 exons.